GGAUUGAACGCUGGCGGCAUGCCUAACACAUGCAAGUCGAACGGGAGUAGCAAUACUCUAGUGGCGGACGGGUGAGGAAUACGUAGGAAUUUGCCCUUAAGUGGGGGAUAACCCGGGGAAACCCGGAUUAAUACCGCAUGACCUCGAAAGAGCAAAGUGGGGGAUCGCAAGACCUCACGCUUUUGGAGAAGCCUACGUCGGAUUAGCUAAGUUGGUGAGGUAAUGGCUCACCAAGGCGACGAUCCGUAA
RNAcentral lists this ribosomal RNA (249 nucleotides) under uncultured soil bacterium. RNAcentral's name for it is "partial 16S ribosomal RNA". It matches the Rfam family "Bacterial small subunit ribosomal RNA", at positions 27 to 286 of the family's 1533-position model. The record is from RNAcentral.